CCGUAAGGUGAACCUGCGGAAGGAUCAUU
Molecule: ribosomal RNA, 29 nt
Filed under: fungal endophyte MUT 2720
Lineage: Eukaryota; Fungi; Ascomycota
Also listed under: 1 other name
Description: partial 18S ribosomal RNA
Source: RNAcentral